GCCCCACGAGUCUGACUCCUCCUGCUAAUGUUUAACUAAACCCAAACCAUGGCUCAGAUCAGAAGCAGCCACUGGCUCCUGUCAGCCUGGCCCUGCAAACCCCAAAGGGUCCCUUUUCUACCCCCCUCCCAAAAAGGAGAGAGAGGGGGGAGGGUAAAAAAGGAACCUAGAAGCUUUCCAGCAGCUCAUCUUGCUUUUUUCUAACACCCUUUCCAAGUCCUCUGGGUCAAACACUCCCCUGUGUCUGCCCCAAGCAGGGGGCAACCAGAGGGAGUAAAGACAAGAGGGGGGGGGGAGCAAAACCAUCCCUGGAGCAGUGCUUAGAGAGUCAACCCAAUGGGAAUGAGGAUGGAGGCUGAAGACAAAAGGAUCCACACACACCCCUGUGCCCAGGUGGCACCCAAAGGGGGUUAAAAGAAGAGUUGAGGGGGUUUUUCUUCCCCCACCUCAACAAGGCAUUUCAGGUGCUACUUCAAGGUCACAACAGGCAUCUCUGGGAGUCAACUGUGUGCUUU
Molecule: long non-coding RNA, 515 nt
Organism: Colius striatus (speckled mousebird)
Lineage: Eukaryota; Metazoa; Chordata; Aves; Coliiformes; Coliidae
Exons: 3
Source: RefSeq, a predicted model, not a curated record